UACGUAGGGGGCAAGCGUUAUCCGGAUUUACUGGGUGUAAAGGGAGUGUAGGUGGUUAUGCAAGUCUGAUGUGAAAUCCAUGGGCUCAACCGAUGGACUGCAUUGGAAACUGCGUAACUGGAGUGCAGGAGAGGUAAGCGGAAUUCCUAGUGUAGCGGUGAAAUGCGUAGAUAUUAGGAAGAACACCGGCGGCGAAGGCGGCUUACUGGACUGUAACUGACACUGAGGCUCGAAAGCGUGGGGAGCAAAC
RNAcentral lists this ribosomal RNA (250 nucleotides) under uncultured prokaryote. RNAcentral describes it as "partial 16S ribosomal RNA". It matches the Rfam family "Bacterial small subunit ribosomal RNA", at positions 524 to 773 of the family's 1533-position model. The record is from RNAcentral.